This 393-nucleotide ribosomal RNA is filed under the name uncultured bacterium. Its description in RNAcentral is "partial 16S ribosomal RNA". It matches the Rfam family "Bacterial small subunit ribosomal RNA", at positions 523 to 918 of the family's 1533-position model. The record is from RNAcentral.
AUACGGAGGAUCCGAGCGUUAUCCGGAUUUAUUGGGUUUAAAGGGAGCGUAGGCGGACGCUUAAGUCAGUUGUGAAAGUUUGCGGCUCAACCGUAAAAUUGCAGUUGAUACUGGGUGUCUUGAGUACAGUAGAGGCAGGCGGGACUCGUGGGGUAGCGGUGGAAUGCUUAGAUAUCACGAAGAACUCCGAUUGCGAAGGCAGCUUGCUGGACUGUAACUGACGCUGAUGCUCGAAAGUGUGGGUAUCAAACAGGAUUAGAUACCCUGGUAGUCCACACAGUAAACGAUGAAUACUCGCUGUUUGCGAUAUACAGUAAGCGGCCAAGCGAAAGCGUUAAGUAUUCCACCUGGGGAGUACGCCGGCAACGGUGAAACUCAAAGGAAUUGACGGGG